This 207-nucleotide ribosomal RNA is filed under the name uncultured bacterium. RNAcentral describes it as "partial 16S ribosomal RNA". It matches the Rfam family "Bacterial small subunit ribosomal RNA", at positions 568 to 774 of the family's 1533-position model. The record is from RNAcentral.
UGUGUAGGUGGCGCGCUAAGUCGGGUGUGAAAUUUCGGAGCUUAACUCCGAAACUGCAUUCGAUACUGGCGUGCUUGAGGACUGGAGAGGAGACUGGAAUUUACGGUGUAGCAGUGAAAUGCGUAGAUAUCGUAAGGAAGACCAGUGGCGAAGGCGGCUUUCUGGACAGUAACUGACGCUGAGGCGCGAAAGCCGGGGGAGCAAACA